UUGUGCCACUGCACUCCAGCCUGGGCGACCCAGCAAGACCCUGUCUCAAAAAAAAAAAAAAAAAAAAGGAUCCUCAGGGCUGCCAACUUUAUAGUAGAAGUUGAGGUGGUAGUGGAUUUCUCCUACACAA
This 130-nucleotide small nucleolar RNA is filed under the name Macaca nemestrina (pig-tailed macaque). Its description in RNAcentral is "Small nucleolar RNA U109 (ENSMNEG00000013885.1)". The stretch from base 44 to 130 matches the Rfam family "Small nucleolar RNA U109". Lineage: Eukaryota; Metazoa; Chordata; Mammalia; Primates; Cercopithecidae. The record is from RNAcentral.